RNAcentral lists this ribosomal RNA (609 nucleotides) under uncultured bacterium. RNAcentral describes it as "bacterial SSU rRNA". It matches the Rfam family "Bacterial small subunit ribosomal RNA", at positions 338 to 956 of the family's 1533-position model. The record is from RNAcentral.
CCUACGGGAGGCAGCAGUGAGGAAUAUUGGACAAUGGGCGCAAGCCUGAUCCAGCCAUGCCGCGUGCAGGAAGACGGUCCUAUGGAUUGUAAACUGCUUUUGUACGGGAAGAAACACUCCUACGUGUAGGAGCUUGACGGUACCGUAAGAAUAAGGAUCGGCUAACUCCGUGCCAGCAGCCGCGGUAAUACGGAGGAUCCAAGCGUUAUCCGGAAUCAUUGGGUUUAAAGGGUCCGUAGGCGGUUUAGUAAGUCAGUGGUGAAAGCCCAUCGCUCAACGAUGGAACGGCCAUUGAUACUGCUAGACUUGAAUUACUAGGAAGUAACUAGAAUAUGUAGUGUAGCGGUGAAAUGCUUAGAUAUUACAUGGAAUACCAAUUGCGAAGGCAGGUUACUACUAGUGGAUUGACGCUGAUGGACGAAAGCGUGGGGAGCGAACAGGAUUAGAUACCCUGGUAGUCCACGCCGUAAACGAUGGAUACUAGCUGUUCGGGGCAACCUGAGUGGCUAAGCGAAAGUGAUAAGUAUCCACCUGGGGAGUACGUUCGCAAGAAUGAAACUUAAAGAGUAGACGCGNGAGAGAGCGACGACGACGACGAGGAGGAGGAGG